GAAAAGUUUGAUUCUAGCUUAUAGAUUAAUAUAUUAAAUUAAAUACAUAUAUUGGGGGGUAGUAUUUAAAAUUAUAUAACUUUAGGUAUAAAAUUUUAUAGAUGACAAGAUUAAUUUGUGCCAGCAUCUGCGGUUACACAAAUUGUUAGUUUAAUUUCUUUUUAUUAUUAAAAAAUAUAUUUUUUUUAAUUAUUUAUUUAAUUUAUUUUAAUUAAGUGAAAUUAUUAAUUUAUUUAUUUUAAUAAAAAUUUUAUUUUUAAAAAGAUUAAUUAAUAGACUAGGAUUAGAUACCCUAUUAUUUGAUUUAAUUAACUAAAAUUUAAAGUAUUAAUUUUAAUAUUGAAACUUAAAGAAUUUGGCGGUGAUUUAUUCUUUUUAGAGGAAUCUGCUCAUUAAUCGAUAGUCCACGGUUUCCUUACUUUUUUUGACUUUAUAUAUCGUUGUUUUAAAAAUUAAUUAGUUAAUUAAUUUAAAUAAUUUUAUUGAUUUAAUAACAAAUCAAGGUAUAGGAUAUAAAAAAGUUGAAGUGGGUUACAUUAUUUUAAUAAAAUGGUUUUUUGUAUAAAUAAUACUUAAAUAAAAUGGAUUUAUUAGUAAUUUUAUUAUCAUGUUUUUUUGAAAUAAGUUCUAAAUCAUGUACAUAUCGCCCGUCACUCUCUUUAUGAAAAGAGAAAAGUCGUAACAAAGUAGAUUUUUUGGAAAAAGAAUCUAGAAGCGA
This 718-nucleotide non-coding RNA is filed under the name Tomocerus qinae. Lineage: Eukaryota; Metazoa; Arthropoda; Collembola; Entomobryomorpha; Tomoceridae. The record is from RNAcentral.